ACAAGGUGGUGCUCACGGCGAACAAAUCCUUGUCAUCACCGGAGUAGAAGAGCCGUGUUGACCGGCCGGAAAAAUCAUUUCUGUGAUUCAAGAGCGAAGGAACUGCUAAAGCUGGUGCACUCCGAUCUAGGUGGCCCUUAGGGGUGUCAUCGUUUGGAGGGAGUCGCUACUUCGUUAGGAUUGUGGACGAUGCCAGCAAAAAGGUGAACGUGUACUUGCUCGAACGGAAAAACCAAGUUCUGGAAGUAUUUUAGAAGUUCAAAGCUAGAGCUGAGAGACAAAGCGGGACGAAGUUGAUGAUUUUGCGUACUGACAAUGGGACAGAGUACGUCAACAAAGGAGUCAAACAACGUGUUCGUAUACACCUGUGCAAAAUGGUGUUGCGGAACGUAUGAACCGAACAUUGGUGUAGAAAGCACGAUGCAUGCUCAAUGAUGCGAGAUUUAGUAAGCAGUUUUAGGCGGAAGCAAUCUCAACUGCUGCUCAACUGCUGGGAGACAAAACACCGGAGGAAGCGUGGUCGGGGAAUAAGCCAAAUCUGCAGCAAUGAAACGCGUACCGAAAGGGAAAAGAAAGAAGUUCGACUCCAAGGCAAGGCAAGACAGGCUAUCUUUGUUGGCUAUUGUGAUAACACGAAAAGGUUAUCGUCUCGCCGAAGGUGCAAUGAGUGCAAAAGCAACGUGUGACCAAAACGUACACCCGGUGAAACUCAUGGAGCUUCAAUUAGAAGAGUUACUGGUGCCAAACAGCAUUGCGGAUAUGACCAAUGAAGGUCAACAAAAUGCCGCAGUUGGCGUAGUCUCGGACGAUGAAAACCAGAGCACCGAAAAAUUUAUUGGCAAGCAUGAAGAAUUUAUUGGAUAUGGACUAUAUUCUGGUGAUAGCCUUUCCCCCCAGUUACCUUCUGAUUCAACCAACGGAGACUUUGCGAUGAACGAUCCGAAAACCUAGGAAGCGGUUCUACAGAGUCUGACCGGGAUCAUUGGAUUCAAGCAAUGAACGAUGAAUUGAUGCCGCUAAACGAGAACAACACGUGGGUGUUGACAGACCUAUGGGUGUUCAAAACGAAGCGGGGUCCUGAUGGGGUCAUUCAAUGGUACAAAGCUCGUUUCGUCAUUAAAGGAUGCUCACAGAGGCCAGGUCUCGAUUACGAUGAGGUGUACUCUCCUGUGGUGCGAUAUGCGACGAUUCAUUACCUCAUGGCACGGGCAGUCAAGUUCGAUCUGGACAUCGAUCAGAUGGAUGCCUCAAUGGCUUUUUUGCAAGGAGGGCUGAGAAAGCAGAAGAUCUACAUACUGCAACCACAGAGUAUCGAUCAACGAAAUGAGAAGGUUGAAGAAAGCGCUCUAUGGUCUGAAGCAGACAAACAGAGUAUAGUAUGCGGUAGUGUUCUCAAGAAGCUCGGUCUGAUUCGUUCUUCACUAAACUGUUGCUUGUAUUGGGUGAUUUCUGAAAGUAAAACGAUGUUCGUCACCAUUUAUGUUGAGAUUUGAAGCAGAAGCUGAAGAUAUAUCCGGGUUAGCAGUUCAAAACGAAGGAUUUCGGUGAAGCCAAAUUCUGUCUGAGUAUCCGGAUUACAAUGAAUCAAGCAGAAUGUAAUCUGAGGCAUGAUCAACAAGCUUACAUCGAGGAAUUGUUGACCAAAGCACAAUUUGUAUCAACGCUCGCAGAACCAAGUAUACGACUAGUUGAACCAAUGAGAGGCUGGUAGUCAGUUCUGUUCCAGUCAGUGGCGUAGCGUGACAGAUGAUACCCGGGGGGAUAGUUGGGUAUCACCCCGCUUCCCCUGGGUGUCACCCCCACCAGGUUGUAGCAGAAUCGUCUUGUUAUCAAAAAUUGUGAGAGUUAGCACGCUCAUUUUCAAUUGCACUAAAUCUACCCAUUUUUGGAAUAAAGGUUGAAACUAUACACUUAGGAGCAAA
Molecule: long non-coding RNA, 1922 nt
Organism: Wyeomyia smithii (pitcher-plant mosquito)
Lineage: Eukaryota; Metazoa; Arthropoda; Insecta; Diptera; Culicidae
Exons: 2
Source: RefSeq, a predicted model, not a curated record